GUGAAGAACGUAGUGAAAUGCGAUAAGUAAUGUGAAUUGCAGAAUUCCGUGAAUCAUCGAAUCUUUGAACGCACAUUGCGCCCCCUGGCAUUCCGGGGGGCAUGCCUGUCCGAGCGUCAUUUCUGCCCUCAAGCACGGCUUGUGUGUUGGGUGUGGUCCCCCCGGGGACCUGCCCGAAAGGCAGCGGCGACGUCCGUCUGGUCCUCGAGCGUAUGGGGCUCUGUCACUCGCUCGGGAAGGACCUGCGGGGGUUGGUCACCACUAUAUUUUACCACGGUUGACCUCGGAUCAGGUAGGAGUUACCCGCUGAACUUAAGCAUAUCAAUAAGCGGAGGA
This 336-nucleotide unclassified non-coding RNA is filed under the name soil metagenome. RNAcentral describes it as "partial contains 5.8S ribosomal RNA, internal transcribed spacer 2, and large subunit ribosomal RNA". The stretch from base 2 to 119 matches the Rfam family "5.8S ribosomal RNA", at positions 37 to 154 of the family's 154-position model. The record is from RNAcentral.